This 492-nucleotide ribosomal RNA is filed under the name uncultured bacterium. Its description in RNAcentral is "partial 16S ribosomal RNA". It matches the Rfam family "Bacterial small subunit ribosomal RNA", at positions 29 to 507 of the family's 1533-position model. The record is from RNAcentral.
AGUGAACGCUGGCGGUAGGCCUAACACAUGCAAGUCGAACGGCAGCACAGUAAGAGCUUGCUCCUACGGGUGGCGAGUGGCGGACGGGUGAGGAAUACAUCGGAAUCUACUUUUUCGUGGGGGAUAACGUAGGGAAACUUACGCUAAUACCGCAUACGACCUACGGGUGAAAGCAGUGGAUCUUCGGACCUUGCGCGAUUGAAUGAGCCGAUGUCGGAUUAGCUAGUUGGCGGGGUAAAGGCCCACCAAGGCGACGAUCCGUAGCUGGUCUGAGAGGAUGAUCAGCCACACUGGAACUGGGACACGGUCCAGACUCCUACGGGAGGCAGCAGUGGGGAAUAUUGGACAAUGGGCGCAAGCCUGAUCCAGCCAUACCGCGUGGGUGAAGAAGGCCUUCGGGUUGUAAAGCCCUUUUGUUGGGAAAGAAAAGCAGCAGGUUGAUACCCCGCUGUUCUGACGGUACCCAAAGAAUAAGCACCGGCUAACUUCGUG